CAGCCGCCACGGUAAUACGUAGGUGGCAAGCGUUGUCCGGAAUUAUUGGGCGUAAAGCGCGCGCAGGCGGAUCAGUUAGUCUGUCUUAAAAGUUCGGGGCUUAACCCCGUGAUGGGAUGGAAACUGCUGAUCUAGAGUAUCGGAGAGGAAAGUGGAAUUCCUAGUGUAGCGGUGAAAUGCGUAGAUAUUAGGAAGAACACCAGUGGCGAAGGCGACUUUCUGGACGAAAACUGACGCUGAGGCGCGAAAGCCAGGGGAGCGAACAGGAUUAGAUACCCCUGUAGUCCCUGUCUCUUAUACC
RNAcentral lists this ribosomal RNA (301 nucleotides) under uncultured bacterium. RNAcentral's name for it is "partial 16S ribosomal RNA". It matches the Rfam family "Bacterial small subunit ribosomal RNA", at positions 509 to 808 of the family's 1533-position model. The record is from RNAcentral.